GGUUUUGCACAGUGGCGGUAUCGUAGCCAAUGAGGUUUAUCCUAGGCGCAAUUAUUGCUAAUUGAAACUCUAAUUAAUAGUGAUUUGGAACAUUUUUUCAUAGGACUAAACAUAGUUUUAAUUUCUUCAUCUGAGAA
Molecule: small nuclear RNA, 137 nt
Organism: Monodelphis domestica (gray short-tailed opossum)
Lineage: Eukaryota; Metazoa; Chordata; Mammalia; Didelphimorphia; Didelphidae
Rfam family: U4 spliceosomal RNA
About the family: U4 small nuclear RNA (U4 snRNA) is a component of the major U2-dependent spliceosome. The structure of U4 snRNA from yeast and human has been reported.
Source: Rfam